Molecule: ribosomal RNA, 592 nt
Filed under: uncultured Vibrio sp.
Lineage: Bacteria; Pseudomonadati; Pseudomonadota; Gammaproteobacteria; Vibrionales; Vibrionaceae
Description: bacterial SSU rRNA
Rfam family: Bacterial small subunit ribosomal RNA
Source: RNAcentral
UGCAGUCGAGCGGCAGCGACAACAUUGAUUCUUCGGAGGAUUUGUUGGGCGGCGAGCGGCGGACGGGUGAGUAAUGGCUGGGAACCUGCCCUGACGUGGGGGAUAACAGUUGGAAACGACUGCUAAUACCGCAUGAUGUCUUCGGACCAAAGAGGAGGACCUUCGGGCUUCUCGCGUCGGGAUGGGCCCAGUUGGGAUUAGCUAGUUGGUGAGGUAAUGGCUCACCAAGGCGACGAUCCCUAGCUGGUUUGAGAGGAUGAUCAGCCACACUGGAACUGAGACACGGUCCAGACUCCUACGGGAGGCAGCAGUGGGGAAUAUUGCACAAUGGGCGCAAGCCUGAUGCAGCCAUGCCGCGUGUGUGAAGAAGGCCUUCGGGUUGUAAAGCACUUUCAGCAGUGAGGAAGGCGUAGUGGUUAAUACCCGCUGCGCUUGACGUUAGCUGCAGAAGAAGCACCGGCUAACUCCGUGCCAGCAGCCGCGGUAAUACGGAGGGUGCGAGCGUUAAUCGGAAUUACUGGGCGUAAAGCGCAUGCAGGCGGUUUGUUAAGCAAGAUGUGAAAGCCCCGGGCUCAACCUGGGAACCGCAUUU